CGGGCCCUUCGGGGUCAGCGGCGGACGGGUGAGUAACGCGUGGGAACGUGCCUUCUGGUUCGGAAUAACCCUGGGAAACUAGGGCUAAUACCGGAUACGCCCUUUUGGGGAAAGGUUUACUGCCGGAAGAUCGGCCCGCGUCUGAUUAGCUAGUUGGUGGGGUAACGGCCUACCAAGGCGACGAUCAGUAGCUGGUCUGAGAGGAUGAUCAGCCACACUGGGACUGAGACACGGCCCAGACUCCUACGGGAGGCAGCAGUAGGGAAUAUUGGACAAUGGGCGCAAGCCUGAUCCAGCCAUGCCGCGUGAGUGAUGAAGGCCUUAGGGUUGUAAAGCUCUUUUAUCCGGGACGAUAAUGACGGUACCGGAGGAAUAAGCCCCGGCUAACUUCGUG
RNAcentral lists this ribosomal RNA (394 nucleotides) under uncultured Methylobacterium sp. RNAcentral's name for it is "bacterial SSU rRNA". It matches the Rfam family "Bacterial small subunit ribosomal RNA", at positions 67 to 507 of the family's 1533-position model. The record is from RNAcentral. Lineage: Bacteria; Pseudomonadati; Pseudomonadota; Alphaproteobacteria; Hyphomicrobiales; Methylobacteriaceae.